RNAcentral lists this ribosomal RNA (253 nucleotides) under uncultured bacterium. RNAcentral's name for it is "partial 16S ribosomal RNA". It matches the Rfam family "Bacterial small subunit ribosomal RNA", at positions 524 to 776 of the family's 1533-position model. The record is from RNAcentral.
UACGUAGGGGGCAAGCGUUGUCCGGAUUUAUUGGGCGUAAAGCGCACGCAGGCGGUCUCUUAAGUUUUGAGUGACAGGUGGUGGCUCAACUGCCACAGGCCUCAGAAGACUGGGAGACUUGAGGACGAGAGAGGGAUGCGGAAUUCCCGGUGUAGUGGUGAAAUGCGUAGAGAUCGGGAGGAAUACCUGUGGCGAAGGCGGCCUACUGGGCCGGACCUGACGCUGAGACGCGAAGGCGUGGGGAGCGAACGGG